AUGAAGGUGUGAAAAACCCGCGGGCGCCGCUACAAACAAACCGACUCAGACCAUCAGAACUAAAGUCAUUCUGGACGGAGCUCUGAGGGGAACUGUGGUACUGCAGUUCCUCCAGACUUGUGAAGUUCCUCUCUAACGUACCUUUGACCUCACAAAAAGAAAUAAAAACCUUAAUUGAAAAUCUACAAAAUGCUUCAACAUAUUUGUUUUGACAGAAUUUCAAACUGGGAAAAAACAAAACAAAAAAAAAAACAAAUCGAGUCAAUACAAAAGUUCUAUUAUCAACAAAGAUUUGGGAAAUAAAAUAAUAAUAAUAAAGAUUUGCUGAGAACAAAGUGGCGAUAAUUAUUUCCAACAAACAUUCCUUCUUCAGUUAAACAAAUGUCACUUUAUUAUGAGUUUUUUAUUAUUUCUAUAAACUCAAAUUGAUUUUAUUCUUGACUUCAUUCCUGAAUGAUGGAAAUGAUUUUUUCAUUUUUAAUAACUUUAUAUUCAUGUUAUAAUUUUUUUUUUUUUAUUUGCUUUUCCUCAAAUUACAAGGUCUUUUUUUUGCACAUCAUCUUCACAGUCAAAUCACUGCCAAAACUGUCCAAUGAGGGAAGUUUCACUUUUAUUUCAUUUACAUUCUUGAUCUUGAAAAAAACAAAAACAAAGGCUCAGCAUCAGAAUUCUGGCUGCAUUUACUCACAGAGCAAAAAACAGAUUUAAUUGAGGCUCUGUUCUCCCAUGUGCCUUCUGGAAAACUGUAGCUGAAAUGUAUAUAUAUAUUUUUUAAUCUGCUUCUGUUCCACCGUGAAGCUGGUCAGAAGAACGCGGUGCUGUGCACAUUUUACAGGAAGCUCUCCAUGUCCAUGGCGCAGGUUCUAGUUUUUGUUCUCUAAAGGUUUGAGGACGUGUACAAAAGUACGUGAGCAAACAAAUCAAUAAUUCAAACAAACAACAAAAGACAAAAAUGCAUCAACUCUUGAGUGAAAUAAAUUACAUUCAUCUAAAAACAAAUCACAAAAAUUAAGACUGUAAUUACACGAGGACUGAUUAUGUAGGAAGAACUGGAUCCUGACGGGUUCACUGAUCCAAUGGCUCCAUCACAUCGGGAAUACUGUAGUGGGAAUUUUAUUCAUGUGCCAGGAGGACCUGGACCAACACAACCUGAUCAGAAUGAACAAAAGUCCAAGUUCAGGAUCCGCUGCCCCCCCCCCCCCAAAAAAAACCACUUGAAGUCACUCGUGCGGGGCGAAAGACACACAAAAAUAGACAGGUGUGCGCCCCCCUGUGGCUGUGGAACAAGCAGAAGCCAGACACGGAGGACGAUAGCUGAAAAAGUGUCAUUUCAGUGGCACUUUACAGAAAAAUGUUCUGAGUUCAGAAAAACCAGAAUAAAUAGAGGGUUGUUUUUUCAUGUUUCACAGAAGCGAGAACUGUGACUGCCCUCUGCUGGCUGGCCGAGGUCUGUUCUCUCAGAAUGUCCUAUCGAUUGUAAUUGACAUCACAACACUCUCAGUCUUCCUGAUGAUCUUGAUUGUAUUCUUUUGUUCAUUCCCGGUGAAUUUUUGGUUUGGCACCGAGACAUGCCCAGCUUGAUCAAAUCACAAAGGUCACUGUACGACCAGCAAAAAGUCACAAAGUCUCCAGACUCCCAGUCCAACUCAGGUCCUUAGACCAGUGAAGGUUUGGGAAAAUGGAGGAUCCAUCACAUCUCAGAGCAGACUUGGGUCUAGACUUGGAAGCAGCCAAACAGAACCAGGGUCAAAAACCCUGUCCUGAGAGUAAAUAUCUCAGCCAUGGGACACAGGUGUGCAGGUUCACGCUCAGGAGAGCAUGCCACAUGGUGGUGCUGGCGCGGCCCGGCGUCCUCCAGACCGCAUGAAUAAAUUCCUGAAUGUGAGCAAGCAGCAAAAGGAGUCGGUUUAACA
Molecule: long non-coding RNA, 1913 nt
Organism: Thalassophryne amazonica
Lineage: Eukaryota; Metazoa; Chordata; Actinopteri; Batrachoidiformes; Batrachoididae
Exons: 3
Source: RefSeq, a predicted model, not a curated record